GGUGUGUCUGCACGGAGGACUUUACCAGGUCCAUUGGUGGAUGUUGCACGCAGGCCCAGCUUCCGUCGCAGGGGUCCCCUGAGAAUGGAGAAGAAACUUAGAGGAGACACUAAGUCCCUGGAGGCAUCCAAGCACAUGGAGAAUAUGCUGAGUGAUCUGGAGAGACGUGAUGCAGCCGGCCCCACAACACGUGCUGACAACAUCUGGGAAAGCACGAGAAGAGUUUUCUGCUGGGGAACACCGUGUUUGAAGAUGAUGGCCAUUGUGGCUGGUGCUGCACUUUGCCUGAUGAUGUGCUGUGCCGCAAUCUGGUAUUGCUGGAAGAGAAACUGGCGUCUCAUUGAAGAAAAACUGAAAGCUGCUGGCUGGACACAAGAUCUCUACUGCUGGAAGAGCCACAGCAGCUUGUCUGAUUCGGACGAGUUUUCAUUUUACCACUUCCCAGCUCUACGGUGAUUUGAGGCCCCCUCCUUCCACGGCUGAAUGUGAAAGCCCCCAGGAAAGGCUGUGGGAAGUUCUCAAGUGAAUAUUGACUGAGAGCUUCCAAAAUCAUCUUCCAAAUUUUAAAAAUAGUUUUAGAAUCCUGUUAAGGCAACCUUAUUUUCUAUCCGCUUUUCAUUUUUAGAAAUAUUUAGAAAUAUUUCUUGUAGAGACAAAUCCCCAAUGUUUCUUCCCCGCUUCCACAGUAGUGUUUUUGAAAGUAGUGUUAC
Long non-coding RNA from Passer domesticus (house sparrow), 710 nucleotides. RefSeq lists it as uncharacterized. NCBI's taxonomy places the organism in Eukaryota, Metazoa, Chordata, Aves, Passeriformes, Passeridae. The transcript is spliced from 4 exons. The record is from RefSeq and is a predicted model, not a curated record.